UGGGGAAUAUUGCACAAUGGGCGCAAGCCUGAUGCAGCCAUGCCGCGUGUAUGAAGAAGGCCUUCGGGUUGUAAAGUACUUUCAGCGAGGAGGAAGGCGUUGUGGUUAAUAACCGCAACGAUUGACGUUACUCGCAGAAGAAGCACCGGCUAACUCCGUGCCAGCAGCCGCGGUAAUACGGAGGGUGCAAGCGUUAAUCGGAAUUACUGGGCGUAAAGCGCACGCAGGCGGUCUGUCAAGUCGGAUGUGAAAUCCCCGGGCUCAACCUGGGAACUGCACCCGAAACUGGCAGGCUAGAGUCUUGUAGAGGGGGGUAGAAUUCCAGGUGUAGCGGUGAAAUGCGUAGAGAUCUGGAGGAAUACCGGUGGCGAAGGCGGCCCCCUGGACAAAGACUGACGCUCAGGUGCGAAAGCGUGGGGAGCAAACA
Molecule: ribosomal RNA, 427 nt
Filed under: uncultured bacterium
Lineage: Bacteria
Description: partial 16S ribosomal RNA
Rfam family: Bacterial small subunit ribosomal RNA
Source: RNAcentral